RNAcentral lists this ribosomal RNA (253 nucleotides) under uncultured microorganism. RNAcentral's name for it is "partial 16S ribosomal RNA". It matches the Rfam family "Bacterial small subunit ribosomal RNA", at positions 524 to 776 of the family's 1533-position model. The record is from RNAcentral.
UACGGAGGGUGCAAGCGUUAAUCGGAAUUACUGGGCGUAAAGCGUACGUAGGCGGCUUGUUAAGCAAGAUGUGAAAGCCCCGGGCUCAACCUGGGAAUGGCAUCUGAUACUGGGAAGCUAGAGUAUGUGAGAGGGUGGUAGAAUUUCCAGUGUAGCGGUGAAAUGCGUAGAUAUUGGAAGGAAUACCGGUGGCGAAGGCGGCCACCUGGUCAGAAACUGACGCUGAGGUACGAAAGCGUGGGGAGCAAACAGG